AAAAAGGAAGCUGAUUCUGUUCAUUAGCUCCGUCUAGGGUUUUUAUACACUUGGGUACCAUUUUCAUUACAGUAGAAAGUUUCUCUCUAAAACUACUUGAAGCAAUCAGACUGCUUCCAGAAAUUUGAAUCGCCAUCAGCUUUUUGGGAACUCUUCCAGUGUCAUUCUUCAUUUUGGGAUGGGGGACGCGGACUCUCUUCAACCAUCAAAGAAAA
RNAcentral lists this unclassified non-coding RNA (215 nucleotides) under Hevea brasiliensis (rubber tree). The record is from RNAcentral. Lineage: Eukaryota; Viridiplantae; Streptophyta; Magnoliopsida; Malpighiales; Euphorbiaceae.